CGGGGCCUGGACGUACUCGGCGGCGUCCGUCGCCUGCGCGGCGGCGGUGCGCUUCUCGAAGAGCUGCUGGGUCACGUCGGCUGCCACGACC
Molecule: transfer RNA, 91 nt
Filed under: Methylobacterium radiotolerans
Lineage: Bacteria; Pseudomonadati; Pseudomonadota; Alphaproteobacteria; Hyphomicrobiales; Methylobacteriaceae
Description: tRNA-Arg
Source: RNAcentral